CCUGGUGGCUCAGUUGGUAGAGAAUCUGCCUGUAAUGCAGGGGACCCUGGUUCGAUCCCUGGGUCAGGA
Molecule: transfer RNA, 69 nt
Filed under: Ovis aries (sheep)
Lineage: Eukaryota; Metazoa; Chordata; Mammalia; Artiodactyla; Bovidae
Rfam family: tRNA
About the family: Transfer RNA (tRNA) molecules are approximately 80 nucleotides in length.
Source: Rfam by way of RNAcentral